Long non-coding RNA from Paramacrobiotus metropolitanus, 1729 nucleotides. RefSeq lists it as uncharacterized. The record is from RefSeq and is a predicted model, not a curated record. The transcript has 3 exons. Lineage: Eukaryota; Metazoa; Tardigrada; Eutardigrada; Parachela; Macrobiotidae.
GUCAUCAUAAUUUGAAUCCACUGGAUGGAUCUCGCUAGUAACUUUUACAUUACCGAAGACGAUGUGAGGAGCGACUGCGAUUGGACGCAUGCCUUAGUAAAGUACGGGAACUGAAGCCCGGCGUAACGGUGGAGAUCUUCAAGCAUGAUUUGUCGCAGGAUACUGGAUACCGUUGAAGACCUACUAAAGCACUUCAGCUGUGUGAGCGCCACUGAGACUCCCUUAUCGCUGUGGAUUGCUAUCAAUGAAUCACUACGUGGGAACGGGAGUAAACACAUCCCGUUUAUUAGUGUGGGUGCGUGUGGCAUUUUCGCCGGAGUGUCCUGUGAUUUCGGUGAGGAAUUCAAGGUGUAUGAUCCGCAAACCGAAGAAGGCAGGGACUUGCUCAUUUCUUCGUUUACAUCAACUGAAAAAGCCCAUGUUACGUGUAUGGAAGGUUAUUAUCAUCGGCUUGACACGGGAGAUCUGAUGGAAUUCAAGGAUGUCGAAUGACGGAUCUCAAUGCACCUUUACCGUAGAGAAGAUUGUUUCUCCGUUGAUCUUCUGCAUUGGCGAUACACGACUUUUCUAUCUGCGUGAUCCAUGCCGGCUGUAGCGUGACUACAAGAAUACACAUCACGGACGAUGACCAUAUUGAAAAGAGUUUCAUUUCCGGCUCGAUUAUAGGAAUGUCCACAAGCGCGAUAUGGUAGCUCAGCGUGCAGCAGAUAAUUCCUGGCGUCUGUGUUCACGCAUUGAAACUACGAGUGCAACCGUCCAGCAGUGCAACAGCUCAUUCAGAAAAUUAUCAGGAGGGAUACAUGUGACAUUAUGGGAUAAGUGGAGUAUUGCCGGCAGUCCGCAGUUUGCCAUGCAGAAUUUUGUGGAUGCGGUGAAGAACACGUAUAAUUUGACCGUGAGCAGUAUAUUGAUGGGAGCGAAAAUGGUGUACAUGCCUUUCAUACCGGAGCACCGGAAGCGAUUAGCGCAACCGUUUGACAAAUUCCUCGAUCCUUUGCCCAGUAAUUAAGACUACGUCGAUCUGUCGGUGGAUAUGGAAGCCGAUCCAAUGGGUGAUGCAUCCACGGAUGAUAAAUGGCCCCCUGUGCGCUACUAUUUCCGCUAACUGGAAAGGAUCUGUUAUGCAUUGACAUUUGCAUGCGCUAUUGGUGUUAGAGUAUUGGUGUUUCCUGUUGCAGUCCCCCGUAGACAUGAAGAACUCUGAUCGCCAAUAUGCCGCGGUUGACCCAAAAGGUCAGCGUUGCCCACGAUAUCGUGGCUGGACGCGCAGAGGAAACUACUCCAUGUGGUGCCGCGUCCAUCGGUCAUCUGCUACCGCCGCAUACGGCGAGUACAAAGCAGUCCGCCUGCCAAAGCCUCUGAAUCCGAAGGACCCAUGGUGGUCAUCGCGAAAAAGCUGACCAUUCUUUGCGAGCACCUUGUAUUGCGGAACCGUUUUGAAGAACUCUUUACCCACCCGUCGAUCCGUGAUCUGCCGCAUGCGAUCGCCAAGAAAUUGAUUCAGUUCCAGAUCAAGGACGGACUGACCUUCCUGGAAAAGGCCAUGACCGCAUGGGCGGUCAUGUACCGUAACACCCACUGUACUUAGGUCAUCCACUGCUUUUUCUGUUUUAACUUUACUUCAUUGAUGUGCACACCGAUCUGAACGCACUGUGAUGAUCCCUCUUUUAGUUUGUUAAUUAUAUGAAUUAUGAUAGCGCUUCUAUUCACGUGUGUAUGCAUGCGGUAU